AAUUAUAUAAUAAAUAAAUUAAGUCAAGGUAAACUUCGCUUAUAGGCACCAACCAUAAAAAUGCCAGACAAGAAACCAACCAAUCAUUAAAAAAAAUAAUAAUAAAAAAAUCAAAAACAAAAAAAAAACAACAAAAAAAUCAGACAGGGAUAUAGUACCUUGGUGUGUCUCCAUUUGCAAACAAAAAUAAAAGUCUAAACAAAAAUGGACAUAUCAAUCGAAUUGCGUAAGAAUUGAUGACAACCUCGGAACAGUUCAUAUUACAUCCACUUAUUUUGAACAUUGGUGGAUAGUUGUCUCAUUGGCAAUCAUACCACAUUUCCUUCAGACGGUUAUUGCAUUUACACAGCAACGAAAAUGUAGCGAGGCAGUUGCCUCACCGCCACUAGAGAAGAAGAAAGAUAAUUGUUGAAGUAUUCUAUUGGAAGGGACAAUAUUGUUUUUGCCAUCUGAGGAAUACCUCAUGGUAUUUUAGCAGAAAGGUUGUUAUAGCAGACGACGACUGGUUACAUCCUUUGAACAAGAAGGAAAAGCUGGCUACCAGUCGUCGCGAAUCUCUUAAACCCAGAAGGGACAAGGUAAAAUGACCAUAGCCUAAACAUUGAUUUGCUGAAGUAAUUCAGACGAAACUUUUGGUCAGGAAAUUCUAUAUUUUCAUUUGAAUAAAUUUUUUUCAGUUA
Mytilus californianus (California mussel) is the source of this 680-nucleotide long non-coding RNA. RefSeq lists it as uncharacterized. The record is from RefSeq and is a predicted model, not a curated record. The transcript has 2 exons. NCBI's taxonomy places the organism in Eukaryota, Metazoa, Mollusca, Bivalvia, Mytilida, Mytilidae.